Danio rerio (zebrafish) is the source of this 1265-nucleotide non-coding RNA. The record is from RefSeq and is a predicted model, not a curated record. NCBI's taxonomy places the organism in Eukaryota, Metazoa, Chordata, Actinopteri, Cypriniformes, Danionidae.
UCUAUGCUGAGUUUUACAGGAUUACUCAAACCAACCUCAAAGAUACCUUCUCUUUUUCGGAUGAAUACGCUAUCAAGUUUUAUGGAUCAUGUGGUGGGCGAUAUGGAGAGAUAAUAAGGACCGCCCUGGACCAACUGGACAAUCAAGACACAGAGCCAGAAGAUAUUUGCACAAAAGAGAUGGAGAUGGACAUCCUUAGCACUGUUGAAGAUGAUGUUGCCACUCUUCAGACCAACCUAAAUGUAAGGUGCCUGUCUGUGGUUCUGGGAGAGCAAAUCAUGCUGGUAAAGAUCUUCCGACAGCUGUUGUUCUCCUCUUUGGUUUGAUUAAUUUCCUCAUUAUGAACUACCCCAAAGAACUGAAACACAUCUUUGAAACUAUUCAGAAAGUGUUUAUUGGCCUUGAUCCUCAGUGCUCAGCAAGAGUCCAGUCUUUCAAAAACAAAAUGAAUUUGUUUGUACACUGAAAUAGUGUUACUCUUGGUGUUGUCACCAAACUUAAAUUCAGUUUUGAUUUUACAUUUUCAAAUUUUAAAAACAUCCAUUUCCCACCAAUUGAUAGAUUGGCUGUUGUGUUCAAGCGCUCAACAUAAAUGACUGUGAUUGGCUGAGAAGUUCACCAUUUCACUGCUCUUCACUGAUGUUCAUGGAGUGCAAACACAGAUACACACACACACACACACACACACACACACACACACACACACACACACACACACACACACACACACACACACACACAAACUGGAGUGUUUCAAAACCAAAACGUCGCAUAGUCGAUCCAUCAGCGUAACACUUGUGUCAGCUUAUACACAGACCAGUUGAUCAAUGUGAAAUUCUUAAGUGUCCCUGUAUCUGUGGUUACACUCAGUAAACAGCAGUGAGUUUGGUGAACUGAUGAUCUUCACGCCCAAUCAGUCUUUUCUGUUGAGCAUGUGAACACAAUGGCAAUAUAACAGUGUUUAAAACAUGGUCAACAACGCUCAAAUGUUAGCAGGAAAUGGACGUUUUUAAAAUUAUAGAACUGAUGGGUAACAAAAUUAAAAUAUCGUGACAAAACUAAUUACUUUUGCACUUUGAAAAAAAAUGUUGAUGGUGCAAGCAUUUUAAAUAUUACUUUUGCUUAACUCGAGCACUUAAAAGGCAAUAUAGGAUUUGAGGAUUUACCUUUUUGUUGCCUCUUUUCCUUCACUGGACUGCAGUACAUUUCAUUUGGACAGAAAGCUGUUUGCAGAAUUGUCAAUAAAUAUAUUCUUUGAUAUUGUG